UACGUAGGGUGCGAGCGUUAAUCGGAAUUACUGGGCGUAAAGUGUGCGCAGGCGGCAGAGCAAGUCGAGUGUGAAAGCCCCGGGCUUAACUUGGGAAUUGCGCUCGAAACUACUUUGCUGGAGUGUGGCAGAGGAAGGUGGAAUUCCACGUGUAGCGGUGAAAUGCGUAGAGAUCCGGAAGAACACCGGUGGCGAAGGCGGCCUGCUGGGCAGUUGCUGACACUGAGGCGCGACAGCGUGGGGAGCAAACAGG
This 253-nucleotide ribosomal RNA is filed under the name uncultured bacterium. RNAcentral's name for it is "partial 16S ribosomal RNA". It matches the Rfam family "Bacterial small subunit ribosomal RNA", at positions 524 to 776 of the family's 1533-position model. The record is from RNAcentral.